Long non-coding RNA from Carassius gibelio (silver crucian carp), 3409 nucleotides. RefSeq lists it as uncharacterized. The record is from RefSeq and is a predicted model, not a curated record. The transcript is spliced from 3 exons. NCBI's taxonomy places the organism in Eukaryota, Metazoa, Chordata, Actinopteri, Cypriniformes, Cyprinidae.
UUGAAAACGGUUACGUGUAUCGACACAAAUUCCAUAACUUUUGCCAGCAUGGUCUGAAGAUGAUCCAAAUCAAAUUUGGUGAAAAUCUGAGCAACGGUCUAGGAGGAGUUCGAAAAAGUAGGUUUUCAACAUGAAUCAAAAUGGCGGACAGGAAAUUUUGCCAAAAUUGACAAAUGGGGUAUCGGUGUUCUCGACAUGACCCAAGGAAUCUAUCAACAUCAGCUUUGUUACAAUAGGCUAAUGUAUGCAAAAGUUAUUAGCAUUUUUCGAAAAAAUCGUUAUAACUAUUGACCACAAGGUGGCGCUGCCCCCAAUUUUUUUGUGUACAUUCAGGGCAUGGAGCCGGACAUUUUUGUAAUUAUUUGCGAAACGAUACGGAACUUUAUUCUUAAGAUACAGCAAUUUACAACUAAAUUCAAAAUGGCCGACGCCCAAAAUGGCCGAAUUGGGAAAAUUCGGUAUCAUUCGACUCGGAAUGAUGCACUGAAUCUAAAGACACCACUUUUGUGAAUUUUGGCAAAACCGUUCAGAAGUUAUGAGCAAAAACAUGCAUUUUUCAUAUCUCCUGACCACUAGGGGGCACAGCGCCGAAACACUGCAGGUAGUCCCAGGGAAUGGUUGUUAUAAGACCCACCAAGAUUGGUCUCAUUAGGCCAAACCGUUGCGGAGAUAUAGCCUCACGUUCACGUUUGCGUGCUUUUCGAAGAAUUCGUUCAUGAGCUAUUCGGAAACGGUUUGAGAAAUCAACUUGAAUUCCAUAACUUUUUGCCAGCAUGGUCUGAAGAUUAUCUGAUUCAAUUUUCGUGACAAUCGGUGCAACGGCCUAGGACGAGUUCGAAAAAGUAGGUUUUACGAACAAUUGACGAUACCGAAAAAACUAAGCCUUGCGAUUUUUGAAUUUCGGUGUCCAUUCGACUCGGCAUGAGCCAAGGAAUCACAGGAAAAAAGAAUUUUCAAUUUGUGGCUUACGGUUCAAGAGUUAUUAGCAUCAAGUUUUUGAAAGUUUAGACAAUUGGUGGCGCUAGAGAGUUUGAGUUAGAGACUUCAAAUUUGCUACGGUUAAUGUUCAGACAGUCCUCUAUUAGUGUGCCAAAUUAUACAACUUUCCCGCAAUCGGUUCUAUGGGCUACCAUAGACUUGGGGUGGAAGAAGAGGAAGAAUAAUAAUAAUAAAUAUAGCUGCAAGCAGCAAUCACGGGGCCAAGCAUUCCAGCGGCAACAUCAGGAGCUAUGCAGACCAAAUGCAACAAUGAAUAAUGAAAUUAAUAAUUGCAUGAUUGUAAUUGAAAUGGCUGCAAAUCGUUAAUAAAAGUUCCACAGCGAGGAACUAAGCAUGGCAUGGAGCAUCAGACCAAAUGCAACGAGUAAGAAAAGCAAUUAUUGGAAGAGUGUAAUUGAAACAGCCAGUAAAACUCCAGUAAAAUGAUGCAUUAUCAUUUUUGGAAAAUAGGUGGCGCUGUAAUCAAAUCGCUUUGUUGUGUUCUGUGGGAGGUGACAAUGUUGUGGGCAAUUUCUUUCAAAAUACUUACAGACCUUUAGGGCAAUGAGUCGAACAUGCCCACCGAGUUUCGUUCCGAUCGACUUCUAUUAACCUUGUCAAAUAGGUUCUUAAAGUUGUUUGGCCAAUGGCGGCCAUGUUUUUUAAGAUAAGUGAAAUUUCUCAUAGAGCACUUGUGCCACAUUGGGCCAUACCAAUUUUCAAGUUUAUUGGAUCAGCGGUUGCUUAGUUAUAGCCAUUUUAGGUUUUUUUUCAUCCUGUAGCGCCACCAAGUGGCAGAUAUGGAAAAAAAAAUAAUUUUACUAAAGUUUUUGUUCAUGCAUAUGAGUUCUGAGUUUGGUGAAGAUAUCUCAUUUUGUUCCCGAGUUAUAGCCUUUUUCAUAAAAUUGGUCCACGAAUUUGAAUGUUUUGGGUCACCUGGUUUUUUGUUCAGUCUUGAUCAAACCACUGCAGUAAUAUUCUCAGGACUCUCUAGAUCAAUAACUUUGAAAAAAUAUGUUGUAUUUUGUCCUUUGGUUAGAUAACAUUUAAACAGGCCUAAAAAACAAAAGAUUUCUGUUGUGAAUGGCAUUAAACUGCAAAAAAAGGGGUAAUAUAAUCACACAUGCAUUAGAUCUGUAUUUUUUCUAAACAAUCAUGCAAAAUUUAACAGAGAUUAGGUAAAAAAGAACACUGUAAUAUUUAUAAAGCUUCAAAACCCAGUGUUGAAUAAAAAAUUGCAAUUAUAACCACUAGAUGUCACCGGAAGACCACUAAUGAGCUCACUAAAGACUAAAACAUUACAGUUUAUGGGCUUGUUGAGGGAUUCAUCUAGAAAAAAAUGUAUAUUACUAUUAUUUAAUAUUACUGUUCAAGCAUUUCAGAUCACAUUGAGUCAAAGUUUACCAAUUUAUUCAUACAGAUAUAUCUAAUGUUUAUAAUUAUGCCAGAUUAUGAUUGCAAUGAAACCUGAAAAAUGACAUAGAAGCCCAUAAAAACAGAAGACUUGCAAUAGGUUUUAUCACCCAUCAUUUAUUUUAAUUAUCUAUAUAUAUAACAAAAUGUGUGCAUCUGUGUGUGGGUUUAAGCAUGCUUAUUGAGUAUUAAUAUACUAGUUUAAACAUUUCAUGUUGGUGUGUGUGUCUGUAAUUCUGUUCUAUUCUUUUACUGUCAGCCAUAUCUAGGUUAUUUAAAAUCAGUGCAGUACUAUUAUCUAGACUGUGAAAUUAUACAUAAAUUGCGUAUGCUUCUUUGGAAUGAAAUUAAGACAACAUAUAACAGUUAUAAAGGUUAAAGAGACAGUGUUGUAUGAUAAAUUGCAUUUACGACCACUAGAUGUCACUGGAAGACCACUAAUGGGCUUUGCAGAGAUAUAGCCUCAGACUCAUUUUGUGAAGAUGCCUGACAUCUGAAGCAGCGCUGUACAAAAACGGUUUCGUCUAUUGACACGAAAUCCAUAACUUUUUGUCAGCACGGUCUGAAGAUGAUCUGAUUCAAUUUUGGUGAAAAUCAGACAAACGGUUGAGGAUGAGUUUAAAAAAAAAGGUUUUCAACAUGAAUCAAAAUGGCGGACAGGAAGUUUUGCUUAAUAUGACAUAAUUGGUAUGUAUGUUGUCGGCAUGUCCCAAGGAACAUUUUGAGACAUGUUUCAUGAUAAUAGGCUAAUGCAAUCAAAAGUUAUUAGCAUUAUUGGAAAUGUAAUAAUUAGCGGUUAUUGAUUGGUUUAUUACUCUUGACCAAUAGGUGGCGCUGUGACCAAAAUGAUGUGGCGUGGUCAAUGUGAUGUGACAAUGUCACAUAUUAAGUUUUGUGUAAAUAUCUCCAACCUUUGCAGAGAUACAGCCUCAGAUGCAGUUUGGCAUCUUUCCAGCAAAUUCGUUGGUACGCUAAUUGAAAACGGUUACGUGUAUCGACACAAAUUCCAUAACUUUUU